UGGUUUGGCAUGGAGAGAUAAUCGUACGUGGUUUGGUGAAGCUUCGCUUUCAAAAGCAAUCUGACGGUCGGCCGAGUGUUUUAAUCCUUUUCCUUGAUUACACCGAAUACAAAUCCUGCGGCCCUUCACAAAAAAAAAAAGAAAAACCAUUUGAUUCAAUGACUUCUUCUACUUGUUGUUCGUCUAUCAUCCCUUCUCAACUUCACAACAGAGCUUCAAUUAGAAGAAUCACCACAAACAUUAUUUGGGUUUCCCCCAAAUUAGUUAAAGUACAGAAAACCAAAGAAUAUCACUUAAAAUCAUGUUUUAGUGCUACUACUGCUGCUGCAAAUCCAGAAUUAAGAGGAGGAGAUAAGUACGGUGUGGGCGAUAAGGAUGGUGUCAUCAUUGUUGAUCAUGGCUCUAGGCGCAAAGAAUCUAAUCUUUUGCUAAAUGAUUUUGUAGCCAUGUUUAGAGAUAAAACUGGUUACCCAAUUGUGGAGCCUGCUCACAUGGAGUUGGCAGAACCGUCAAUUAAAGAUGCAUUCGGUUCAUGUGUGCGACAAGGGGCAAACCGAGUAAUUGUCAGUCCAUACUUUCUUUCCCCUGGAAGGCAUUGGAAGCAGGAUAUCCCAAGCUUAACUGCUGAAGCUGCAAAGGAGCAUCCGGGUGUCACAUACUUGAUAACUGCACCUCUUGGCUUGCAUGAGCAAAUUGUGGAAGUAGUGAAUGACAGAAUCAAGCACUGCAUAAGCCAUGUAGCUGGAGAUGCAGAGGAAUGUGCAGUUUGUGUUGGAACAGGAAAAUGUCGUCUGUAUCAUGUUGAAUCAUAAUGAUCCUUUGCUACUGGUUUUAGAUCCAUCUUCAUGUGGAGACCUGUGAUUCACAUACAUGCAACUGAAGUGGAAAAAGAGUAUACAGUAUUUGCGGAUCCAAGAGCCUCGCCCAUCGUGAAAGUGUUUCUUGCGUUGUGUACACAUUCUCUGCAACCUACAAAAUCGAACGCAUAAUCAGUUUUGGGUUCAAUUAUCAGGUGAAAUUUUCCCUAAGAAGAAAUCUUAUAUCCCGUAAGUCCUUGAUUAUCCCGUAAGUCCUUGAUUAUCCAGUUGAUUGAUGUCGGGUGUCUGUCUCUGAAGUUACAAGAGACAGAGUGAUUAUUUAAUUUGGCUAACUUAUGUUGAUAAUGAUUUAUUAGUUAGGUUAGAUGAGAGAAUGACCUAUGCAUAAAUUCUCAUCCACAAAAAGAGCUUGGGGUCUCAUAGGCCCUUUCCAUGCACUAUAACCUAAUUCAGAAAACCCAUCUCUUGAUUUUCCGCUAAGAGAAGUAUCAUCAUAUUCUCUUCUCAUAUCCUUUCUCAUCAAAACAUGGUAAGCUUCAUUUAGCUUCAGAGCAUACUCAUGACCCUGAAAACAUAACACAAAACUGGGAAAAAUUAGUAAGCUGAGAAAUUAAGUAUCAGAAACCACUCCUAGGCCUUAACCAAGCUUGUAGCGUGUUAUAGCAUCCGACCUUUUGGCCUGCAAUAUCUGGGUGAUAUUUCUUCUGCAACUUUCUGUAAGCAUCUUUGAUUUCUUUUGGUUUUGAGUUAACAGAAACUCCAAGCAACUCAUAAUAGUCAUCUGUGUUCCUGCUGCAACACUUGAUUGCAGAAGGUUUCUGCCUCCAUCUUCAUGACAGAGGAAAACAAGCAAAAAAGAAAAAAAACUUUCUACUGAGAACCAUUUGGAAAUGAUCGAGAAAAGCUUGUCAAUCAGAACUUUGCAAUCAUCAGAUAGAAUUACCUGGAAACAGUUUGGUUUGGAUGGCUAUGGCGGGUCAAUUGUGUUGUCGAGUAUGUGUAAAUUGAGCCUGUAAAGACUAACAUGAUUCUCCUCUACCGUUGGCCUGAUAUUUUUGGGGAAUAUUCAACUCUGAACUAUCCAUUUUUAUUUAGUAAAGAUAGUUGCAGAAACCAAUAGAUAAUAUUGUUCACCAAGUUUGGAAAUAUCUUUGGCGGAAAUAAUGACUGGAAAGAUUAGUUUGAAUCAAAAGAGUGUCUUGAUUUUGAUAUUUUUGUCUUGGUUAUUUGAUAUUUUCUCUUCUUCAAUGAGAAAGAAAAAUCAAUUGAAGGCAUAGAGAAUUAGAGAUAUUUUUUGGAACAACUGUAUGAACAAGUCAAGUCCAGAUCAGUCAUCUUCGUCGAGAAGAUAUCUGAACCUCGAUGUCUUGCAGAGGUACAGCUCAUUAAGGUUGUUCGUGAUUGCUUGCCCUAAAAUGUUGUCAAAUCUCACUAGCAAAUCUCCGCCCUUUAACUGAUGAACAAUAAUUUUAAUACAGUAGAAAACUAAGAAGAAAACCCAUCAAGAAAGAAAUGCCAAAACCUGGUAGUCUGGUAGACCAGGGGUAAUUUUUAUUACCUUUUAUACUUUUAUAUAUAAGAAUAAAUUAUCUCUGUAAAUUACAGUUAUUUGGUUUUUAUUACACUUCAAGAGUUGUGGACUUCUAGUUCUACACUACUCACUAACCUGAAUCAAAAUAGUGGCUA
Papaver somniferum (opium poppy) is the source of this 2504-nucleotide RNA transcript. It is a transcript of the gene named sirohydrochlorin ferrochelatase, chloroplastic-like, with no coding region annotated. The record is from RefSeq and is a predicted model, not a curated record. The transcript has 7 exons. Lineage: Eukaryota; Viridiplantae; Streptophyta; Magnoliopsida; Ranunculales; Papaveraceae.